RNAcentral lists this ribosomal RNA (497 nucleotides) under uncultured bacterium. Its description in RNAcentral is "partial 16S ribosomal RNA". It matches the Rfam family "Bacterial small subunit ribosomal RNA", at positions 28 to 507 of the family's 1533-position model. The record is from RNAcentral.
GAUGAACGCUGGCGGCGUGCCUAAUACAUGCAAGUCGAGCGAACAGACGAGGAGCUUUCUCCUCUGACGUUAGCGGCGGACGGGUGAGUAACACGUGGAUAACCUACCUAUAAGACUGGGAUAACUUCGGGAAACCGGAGCUAAUACCGGAUAAUAUAUUGAACCGCAUGGUUCAAUAGUGAAAGACGGUUUUGCUGUCACUUAUAGAUGGAUCCGCGCUGCAUUAGCUAGUUGGUAAGGUAACGGCUUACCAAGGCAACGAUGCGUAGCCGACCUGAGAGGGUGAUCGGCCACACUGGAACUGAGACACGGUCCAGACUCCUACGGGAGGCAGCAGUAGGGAAUCUUCCGCAAAGGGCGAAAGCCUGACGGAGCAACGCCGCGUGAGUGAUGAAGGUCUUCGGAUCGUAAAACUCUGUUGUUAGGGAAGAAAAAAUGUGUAAGUAACUAUGCACGUCUUGACGGUACCUAAUCAGAAAGCCACGGCUAACUACGUG